RNAcentral lists this transfer RNA (74 nucleotides) under Chloracidobacterium sp. CP2_5A. RNAcentral describes it as "tRNA-Arg". It matches the Rfam family "tRNA". From Rfam's summary of the family: Transfer RNA (tRNA) molecules are approximately 80 nucleotides in length. Their secondary structure includes four short double-helical elements and three loops (D, anti-codon, and T loops). The record is from RNAcentral. Lineage: Bacteria; Pseudomonadati; Acidobacteriota; Blastocatellia; Chloracidobacteriales; Chloracidobacteriaceae.
GCGCUCAUAGCUCAGUUGGAUAGAGCAACUGCCUUCUAAGCAGUAGGUCGUAGGUUCGAGUCCUACUGGGCGCG